GACGAACGCUGGCGGCGUGCCUAAUACAUGCAAGUAGAACGCUGAAGGAGGAGCUUGCUUCUCUGGAUGAGUUGCGAACGGGUGAGUAACGCGUAGGUAACCUGCCUGGUAGCGGGGGAUAACUAUUGGAAACGAUAGCUAAUACCGCAUAAUAGUAGAUGUUGCAUGACAUUUGCUUAAAAGUUGCAAUUGCAUCACUACCAGAUGGACCUGCGUUGUAUUAGCUAGUUGGUGGGGUAACGGCUCACCAAGGCGACGAUACAUAGCCGACCUGAGAGGGUGAUCGGCCACACUGGGACUGAGACACGGCCCAGACUCCUACGGGAGGCAGCAGUAGGGAAUCUUCGGCAAUGGACGGAAGUCUGACCGAGCAACGCCGCGUGAGUGAAGAAGGGUUUCGGAUCGUAAAGCCCUGUUGUAAGAGAAGAACGAGUGUGAGAGUGGAAAGUUCACACUGUGACGGUAUCUUACCAGAAAGGGACGGCUAACUACGUG
This 495-nucleotide ribosomal RNA is filed under the name uncultured bacterium. Its description in RNAcentral is "partial 16S ribosomal RNA". It matches the Rfam family "Bacterial small subunit ribosomal RNA", at positions 28 to 507 of the family's 1533-position model. The record is from RNAcentral.